Molecule: unclassified non-coding RNA, 329 nt
Filed under: soil metagenome
Description: partial contains 5.8S ribosomal RNA, internal transcribed spacer 2, and large subunit ribosomal RNA
Rfam family: 5.8S ribosomal RNA (bases 1-120)
Source: RNAcentral
GAUGAAGAACGUAGCGAAAUGCGAUAAGUAGUGUGAAUUGCAGAUUUCAGUGAAUCAUCGAAUCUUUGAACGCACAUUGCGCCCGCCAGUAUUCUGGCGGGCAUGCCUGUUCGAGCGUCAUUUCAACCAUCAAGCCUUUGCUUGCGUUGGGGCCCCGCGGCUGCCGCGGCCCCCUAAAUCCAGUGGCGGGCUCGUCGUCGUACCGAGCGCAGUAAACAUCCUCGCUCCGGGAACCCGACGGGUGCCGGCCGUGAAACCCCUCACAUCAAGGUUGACCUCGGAUCAGGUAGGAAUACCCGCUGAACUUAAGCAUAUCAAUAAGCGGAGGA